AGAGUUUGAUCAUGGCUCAGGACGAACGCUGGCGGCGUGCCUAAUACAUGCAAGUUGAGCGCUGAAGGUUGGUACUUGUACCGACUGGAUGAGCAGCGAACGGGUGAGUAACGCGUGGGGAAUCUGCCUUUGAGCGGGGGACAACAUUUGGAAACGAAUGCUAAUACCGCAUAAAAACUUUAAACACAAGUUUUAAGUUUGAAAGAUGCAAUUGCAUCACUCAAAGAUGAUCCCGCGUUGUAUUAGCUAGUUGGUGAGGUAAAGGCUCACCAAGGCGAUGAUACAUAGCCGACCUGAGAGGGUGAUCGGCCACAUUGGGACUGAGACACGGCCCAAACUCCUACGGGAGGCAGCAGUAGGGAAUCUUCGGCAAUGGACGAAAGUCUGACCGAGCAACGCCGCGUGAGUGAAGAAGGUUUUCGGAUCGUAAAACUCUGUUGGUAGAGAAGAACGUUGGUGAGAGUGGAAAGCUCAUCAAGUGACGGUAACUACCCAGAAAGGGACGGCUAACUACGUGCCAGCAGCCGCGGUAAUACGUAGGUCCCGAGCGUUGUCCGGAUUUAUUGGGCGUAAAGCGAGCGCAGGUGGUUUAUUAAGUCUGGUGUAAAAGGCAGUGGCUCAACCAUUGUAUGCAUUGGAAACUGGUAGACUUGAGUGCAGGAGAGGAGAGUGGAAUUCCAUGUGUAGCGGUGAAAUGCGUAGAUAUAUGGAGGAACACCGGUGGCGAAAGCGGCUCUCUGGCCUGUAACUGACACUGAGGCUCGAAAGCGUGGGGAGCAAACAGGAUUAGAUACCCUGGUAGUCCACGCCGUAAACGAUGAGUGCUAGAUGUAGGGAGCUAUAAGUUCUCUGUAUCGCAGCUAACGCAAUAAGCACUCCGCCUGGGGAGUACGACCGCAAGGUUGAAACUCAAAGGAAUUGACGGGGGCCCGCACAAGCGGUGGAGCAUGUGGUUUAAUUCGAAACAACGCGAAGAACCUUACCAGGUCUUGACAUACUCGUGCUAUUCCUAGAGAUAGGAAGUUCCUUCGGGACACGGGAUACAGGUGGUGCAUGGUUGUCGUCAGCUCGUGUCGUGAGAUGUUGGGUUAAGUCCCGCAACGAGCGCAACCCCUAUUGUUAGUUGCCAUCAUUAAGUUGGGCACUCUAACGAGACUGCCGGUGAUAAACCGGAGGAAGGUGGGGAUGACGUCAAAUCAUCAUGCCCCUUAUGACCUGGGCUACACACGUGCUACAAUGGAUGGUACAACGAGUCGCGAGACAGUGAUGUUUAGCUAAUCUCUUAAAACCAUUCUCAGUUCGGAUUGUAGGCUGCAACUCGCCUACAUGAAGUCGGAAUCGCUAGUAAUCGCGGAUCAGCACGCCGCGGUGAAUACGUUCCCCGGCCUUGUACACACCGCCCGUCACACCACGGGAGUUGGGAGUACCCGAAGUAGGUUGCCUAACCGCAAGGAGGGCGCUUCCUAAGGUAAGACCGAUGACUGGGGUGAAGUCGUAACAAGGUAACCGUAUCGGAAGGUGCGGCUGGAUCACCUCCUU
RNAcentral lists this ribosomal RNA (1539 nucleotides) under Lactococcus lactis subsp. lactis. Its description in RNAcentral is "16S ribosomal RNA". It matches the Rfam family "Bacterial small subunit ribosomal RNA". The record is from RNAcentral. Lineage: Bacteria; Bacillati; Bacillota; Bacilli; Lactobacillales; Streptococcaceae.